RNAcentral lists this unclassified non-coding RNA (300 nucleotides) under Syncephalis sp. RNAcentral describes it as "partial contains small subunit ribosomal RNA and internal transcribed spacer 1". The stretch from base 1 to 46 matches the Rfam family "Eukaryotic small subunit ribosomal RNA", at positions 1786 to 1831 of the family's 1831-position model. Lineage: Eukaryota; Fungi; Zoopagomycota; Zoopagomycetes; Zoopagales; Piptocephalidaceae. The record is from RNAcentral.
AAGUCGUAACAAGGUAUCCGUAGGUGAACCUGCGGAUGGAUCAUUAACGUGUAAUAGCUAGCGGUGUCCGAAAGGGCGCCGUUAGUCUAAUAACUCUGUUAUACCCUUGUGGUGAAUAUAGGAAACUAGUGUGAUUGUGGUGGUUGAGGCGGUUAAACGCCUAGGACGCCACGAUCCUCUUCUUAACUAAAAACAUUACCAUUACAUUAUUAAUCUAAAGUAACCUUGUGGACGAGGUAUUCAUUUAUCGCAAUCACCAAGUAAAACAAUAAUAAUCUAAUACAACUGCUAGCAACGGAU